UACAUGGGGUGCAAACGUUGCUCGGAAUUAUUGGGCGUAAAGCGCACGUAGGCGGUUUGUUAAGUCGGAUGUGAAAUCCCUCGGCUCAACUGAGGAAGUGCAUCCGAAACUGGCAGGCUUGAGUACGGGAGAGGCGAGUGGAAUUCCUGGUGUAGCGGUGAAAUGCGCAGAUAUCAGGAGGAACACCGAUUGCGAGGCAGCUCGCUGGAACGUUACUGACGCUGAGACGCGAAAGCGUGGGGAGCAAACAGG
Molecule: ribosomal RNA, 252 nt
Filed under: uncultured bacterium
Lineage: Bacteria
Description: partial 16S ribosomal RNA
Rfam family: Bacterial small subunit ribosomal RNA
Source: RNAcentral